UACGUAGGGUGCGAGCGUUGUCCGGAAUUAUUGGGCGUAAAGAGCUUGUAGGCGGUCUGUCGCGUCUGCUGUGAAAACCUGGGGCUUAACUCCGGGCCUGCAGCCGAUACGGGCAGACUAGAGUUCGGCAGGGGAGACUGGAAUUCCUGGUGUAGCGGUAAAAUGCGCAGAUAUCAGGAGGAACACCGGUGGUGAAGGCGGGUCUCUGGGCCGAAACUGACGCUGAGGAGCGAAAGCGUGGGGAGCAAACAGG
Molecule: ribosomal RNA, 253 nt
Filed under: uncultured bacterium
Lineage: Bacteria
Description: partial 16S ribosomal RNA
Rfam family: Bacterial small subunit ribosomal RNA
Source: RNAcentral